UACGGGGGGGGCAAGCGUUGUUCGGAAUUACUGGGCAUAAAGCGCACGUAGGUGGUCCGCUAAGUCGCGUGUGAAAUCCCCCGGCUCAACCGGGGAAAUGCGCGUGAUACUGGCGGGCUUGAGAUCGGGAGGGGUGAAUGGAACUCCAGGUGGAGCGGUGAAAUGCGUAGAUAUCUGGAGGAACACCGGUGGCGAAAGCGGUUCACUGGCCCGACACUGACACUGAGGUGCGAAAGCUAGGGUAGCAAACGGG
RNAcentral lists this ribosomal RNA (253 nucleotides) under uncultured bacterium. RNAcentral describes it as "partial 16S ribosomal RNA". It matches the Rfam family "Bacterial small subunit ribosomal RNA", at positions 524 to 776 of the family's 1533-position model. The record is from RNAcentral.